CCUGACAUCGUAAACAACACAAAGGUUUGUGCCUGGCUUAGAUGGAAAAGGAUGAAAACUUCAUCAUCGCUAAGCUAGAUGACUUAGUAACACAAGAACUGGCGCCACGCCUGCCACUGUUGUCCUAUCCUAACAUAUACUGCACGACUUGAAAUCAAGGUCUUUUAGGUUCAUCUUUGGUCGACGGAGAUACGUUUUAUCUACAAAACACCAGCUAAAUUAGAUUGAUUUAUUUCGUAUCUUAUCCUCGACAACUUUUUUUCCACGCCUUCACUCUUCCCUACGUAAACACACAACUAUGUUGGUGCAAAUCAGUGUACAGAGUUUUAUCAAUAGGUCCCUUGCGGUUAACUUUAAGCAGUGCAUCGAUCUUCAUGUUCCAGUAACUAAGGAAAUGUCGUGAUGAAUCAAAGCCACGUAUUCCAGUGAUUUGUUUCUGUUGUAGGUAUACAAGAGGUGUGCUCACUUAGCGACAGACAAGGGGAAGUAAUUGACACGAGGACUAACUCUUUUCCUUGUUUUGACAAGAGGUAACACAGAGCAUGAAACACAGACAUUGAAGACAUACAAAAUUAGGUGAACAUUAAAUCUAACCUGACUGCUUCCCCUUCCCAUAUACACACAUUUGUAUUCUUGUUGUUGGUCAUCUAGUGUUAACCCCCUCCUUUACUUGGCUGAACGCUAGCACUCGACACAUUGAAAACCCACCUCACUUAUGUUAUUGGACAAUUUACUGUACAGAAAUGUCUUGGAUUGGGGAUGCAAAUGUUCUCAUCCUAGAGGAGGUCAAACGUAGGUAGCUGUCAAUCUAAAUUAUUAAAACUGGAAGAUCUGUAAGGUGAAUGAAGAAGAAGCUAGACCUAGACCUAGUACCAGUACUAGAAACUGAAUACAAACAUGACCAGUUAGGAUUCAAGUGACGUCAGCACUUUCAACUCAGGGCCCGCCACUAUGUUCACGUCUUUGUUCAAAUAGCAAAAAGUUUAUAAAAAAUAUAUUUUAAAAAAUCAGUGUGGCUUUAAAAAAAUACCCCCCCCCCCUUUUUUUUUUCCCCCUUAUAUUUUUAAAAUGUAUUUCCCCCUUCUCCCCUGAGUUUCCCUACUCUUUGUUAAGUGU
Molecule: non-coding RNA, 1116 nt
Organism: Biomphalaria pfeifferi
Lineage: Eukaryota; Metazoa; Mollusca; Gastropoda; Planorbidae
Source: the annotation of a GenBank genome assembly